AGUGAACGCUGGCGGUAGGCCUAACACAUGCAAGUCGAACGGCAGCACAGUAAGAGCUUGCUCUUACGGGUGGCGAGUGGCGGACGGGUGAGGAAUACAUCGGAAUCUACUUUUUCGUGGGGGAUAACGUAGGGAAACUUACGCUAAUACCGCAUACGACCUACGGGUGAAAGCAGGGGAUCUUCGGACCUUGCGCGAUUGAAUGAGCCGAUGUCGAAUUAGCUAGUUGGCGGGGUAAAGGCCCACCAAGGCGACGAUCCGUAGCUGGUCUGAGAGGAUGAUCAGCCACACUGGAACUGAGACACGGUCCAGACUCCUACGGGAGGCAGCAGUGGGGAAUAUUGGACAAAGGGCGCAAGCCUGAUCCAGCCAUACCGCGUGGGUGAAGAAGGCCUUCGGGUUGUAAAGCCCUUUUGUUGGGAAAGAAAAGCAGCAGGUUAAUACCCCGCUGUUCUGACGGUACCCAAAGAAUAAGCACCGGCUAACUUCGUG
This 492-nucleotide ribosomal RNA is filed under the name uncultured bacterium. RNAcentral describes it as "partial 16S ribosomal RNA". It matches the Rfam family "Bacterial small subunit ribosomal RNA", at positions 29 to 507 of the family's 1533-position model. The record is from RNAcentral.